CUUAAAUGUAGCAAGUGGACUAUACAUGCAGGCAAAGGAAUGAAGACACGCAGAUACUUAAGCAGGUAGAUCAGGUGUUGCAGAGACAAGCAGAUUCAGCCACACAAUACAAGUUUCUGGGGUAAAAAAAUGACAUAGGUAAACAUAUCGAGCGAACUAUAAAUGCAAGCAAGGGAAUGAAGAUACGUAGAUUCUCAGGUAGGUGGAUCAGGUGUUACAAAAAAGAGCAGAUACAGUCAUACAAUAUAAGUUUCUGGGGUAAAAAAAUGACAUACGUAAACACAGCGAGCGAACUAUAAAUGCAAACAAGUAAAUGAAUCGGGGCCAGUUUUACAAUUCAAUACAGCAAGUUUGUGAGAGAGUUUUGUAGCGUGUUGGAAUGUCGAACUGGCCUUGAGGGUACGCAUAUACUUAGGUAGAUAGCUCAGGUGUUACACGAGAUAGCGAUAAGGUCAUAGCGUUCCCAGAGACUCCGCAACAACGUGAAAGCAGGGAAGGCCACGCGUGAUUCUUAGACGCACCUUUCCUAGUAUUAUCGAGCCCUGGGUGACGAAGCGCGCGCCAUAAAGUGAAUGCGUGGCCGUAAACUAAGGAUGAUCAGGGGAAGGUGGGUGGCUCGCUUCUUCUCCUCUUCCACUGUACGCGUGACUCCACCUUCUCUCCACUUCCCAUCCACUUUUUUUUUCCAGCAGAUCAAGUACUAUAGAGAAAAUUAGAUACAGUUUCGUGGGUAAAAAGUGACGUAGGUAAAUAUAACAAGUGGACGUAAGUGGGCGUAAAAAAAAAAAAUUAUGGAAAAAAAAGCCCGCUACUUACUGCUCCUGAAUAGAGUAGCGAGGAGUGGCCAAAAAUAGAAAUCAAAAUCAACCUUGCUCCGAAAUAGAGAAAAUAGAUAGAGAAAUGAAUAGGCUACAAGAGAAAUGAAAGUCCUAUCAGUCUAUCCAUCAGUCCAUCUUCUCCUGUCCACUUCUUCCCAACCACCUUUGCUCCGAAAUAGAGGAAAUAGAUAGAGAAAUGAAUAGACUACAAGAGAAAUGAAAGUCCUAUCAGUCUAUCCAUCAGUCCAUCUUCUCCUGUCCACUCCUUCCCAACCACCUUUGCUCCGAAAUAGAGAAAAAUAAAUAGGGAACAUCAGAAAUAAGCCCUAUACAUACAUCAGUCCAACUUCUCUCCACUUCUUCCCAACCACCUUCCUCCGAAAUAGAUUGAAAAUAAUAGAGAAAUAAAUAGGUAGUAAGAGGAAUGAACCCAUGACCAUAACCUGGGUGUGUGUGGCCGUAAACUAAGGAUGAUCGCUGGUUGUUGAGUUUGCUGGCUUCUGCUCACUCGUCUCCACACGUGAGUUUUUACCUUCAGUCUUCCACGUGAGUCCACCUUUCUUCCACGUGAGUCCACUUUCAACUAUCCACUUAAUCCAAAGAGAAAUAGAUAGGAAUAAAUAGACAGAGAGAAAAAAUACUUAGAAAUAAAUAUAUACAGAUAGAAAAUAGAUGCAAAAAGACAAAUAGAAAAUAGAUAGAAAUAAGUGGACAGAUAGAAAGAAAAAAGAAAGGAAUAGACAGAAAAUAAAUGGGAAUAAACAGCAGAAAAUAGAUAGAAAUAAACAGACAAAAUAGAUAGAAAUAAACAGACAGAAAAUAGAUAGAAAUAAACAGACAGAAAAUAGAUAGAAAUAAACAGACAGAAAAUAGAUAGAAAUAAACACAGAAAA
Long non-coding RNA from Eriocheir sinensis (Chinese mitten crab), 1711 nucleotides. RefSeq lists it as uncharacterized. The transcript has 2 exons. The record is from RefSeq and is a predicted model, not a curated record. Lineage: Eukaryota; Metazoa; Arthropoda; Malacostraca; Decapoda; Varunidae.